GGAAGGAUCAUUAAAGAGAGCUUCGGCUCCUUUUAUGCCCCUAACAAAUUGCUGUUCCAAUCCUCGUUGCUUCCACCCUUGGAGGGCGGGCAGUGUGCCCGCUUGAUAGGGGUGGAGGGUUUGUUUAAAAUUAUAUAUUUGCUUAGUCAGUUUUGUCUGAAUCAGAGGGAAAACGCUUUAAAACUUUCAACAACGGAUCUCUUGGCUCCUGCAUCGAUGAAGAACGCAGCGAAAUGCGAUAAUUAAUGUGAAUUGCAGAAUUCCGUGAAUCAUCGAGUCUUUGAACGCACAUUGCGCCCUAUGGUAUUCCGUAGGGCAUGCCCGUCUCAGCGUCAGUGAAUCUCCAUCAAGCUGUAGUAUUCUUUUACCAUAGCUUGGACAGUGUCAGGGAAGCAGCAGCUUUACCGAGUUGCAGCUCCUUGGAAAUACAUAGAUACUCACACCAUCAUGUGUGGAACGUGAUGAAAAAUUCUUCGUUCUACAAUCAGUGGUAUGACUUUAUCUAAAAAUCCACAUAUACCGUCUGGUAUACAAUUCUGAACUUGACCUGAGAUCGGGUAGGGAUACCCGCUGAACUUAAGCAUAUCAAUAAGCGGAGGAAAAGAAACCAACCGGGAUUGCCCUAGUAACGGCGAGUGAAGCGGCAAAAGCUCAGAUUUGAAAGCUGGCACUUCUUGUGUCCGCGUUGUAAUCUGUAGAGGGGUGUUCGGGUGUGGCUCUGGCUCAAGUUCCUUGGAACAGGACGUCAUGGAGGGUGAGAAUCCCGUGCAUGGUCGUUGUUCCACGCCUAUGUGAACCUCCUUCAACGAGUCGAGUUGUUUGGGAAUGCAGCUCUAAAUGGGUGGUAUAUUUCAUCUAAAGCUAAAUACCAGCAGGAGACCGAUAGCGCACAAGUAGAGUGAUCGAAAGAUGAAAAGAACUUUGGAAAGAGAGUCAAACAGUACGUGAAAUUGUUGAAAGGGAAGCACUUGUGCCCAGACUUGCUUGCGGUUGAUCAGCUGUCAUUUAUGAUGGUGCACUCUGCCGUAGGCAGGCCAGCAUCGGUCAGGGUGGUUGGAAAAAGGUAUGGGGAAUGUGGCUCCUUCGGGAGUGUUAUAGCCCUAUAUGUCAUACAACCUGCUUUGACCGAGGGCCGCGCUUUUUGCGAGGAUGCUGGCAUAAUGGGUAUAAGUGACCCGUCUUGAAACACGGACCAAGGAGUCUAACAGCUGUGCGAGUGUUUGGGUGAAAAACCCUCACGCGCAAUGAAAGUGAAUGGAGGUGGGAACCGUAAGGUGCACCAUCGACCGAUCCUGAUGUCUUCGGAUGGAUUUGAGUAGGAGCAUGGCUGUUGGGACCCGAAAGAUGGUGAACUAUGCCUGAAUAGGGUGAAGCCAGAGGAAACUCUGGUGGAGGCUCGCAGCGGUUCUGACGUGCAAAUCGAUCGUCAAAUUUGGGUAUAGGGGCGAAAGACUAAUCGAACCAUCUAGUAGCUGGUUCCGGC
Molecule: unclassified non-coding RNA, 1483 nt
Filed under: uncultured fungus
Lineage: Eukaryota; Fungi
Description: sequence contains 18S rRNA gene, ITS1, 5.8S rRNA gene, ITS2, 28S rRNA gene
Rfam family: Eukaryotic large subunit ribosomal RNA (bases 544-1483)
Source: RNAcentral